RNAcentral lists this ribosomal RNA (251 nucleotides) under uncultured prokaryote. RNAcentral's name for it is "partial 16S rRNA". It matches the Rfam family "Bacterial small subunit ribosomal RNA", at positions 525 to 775 of the family's 1533-position model. The record is from RNAcentral.
ACAGAGGUGGCAAGCGUUGUUCGGAAUUACUGGGCGUAAAGGGUCCGUAGGCGGCCUGAAAAGUUGGAUGUGAAAUCCCACAGCUUAACGGGGGAACUGCAUUCAAAACUCUCGGGCUUGAGUGUGAUAGGGGUGAAGGGAAUUCCCGGUGUAGCGGUGAAAUGUGCAGAUAUCGGGAGGAACACCAGUCGCGAAGGCGCUUUUCUGGAUAAGUACUGACGCUGAGGCACGAAAGCCAGGGGAUCAAACGG